This 376-nucleotide ribosomal RNA is filed under the name uncultured bacterium. RNAcentral describes it as "bacterial SSU rRNA". It matches the Rfam family "Bacterial small subunit ribosomal RNA", at positions 524 to 898 of the family's 1533-position model. The record is from RNAcentral.
UACGGAGGGUGCGAGCGUUAUUCGGAAUUACUGGGCGUAAAGCGCGUGUAGGCGGGGAGGUAAGUCUGAUGUGAAAGCCCUGGGCUCAACCUGGGAAGUGCAUUGGAAACUGCCUUUCUUGAGUACUGGAGAGGAAGGGGGAAUUCCCGGUGUAGAGGUGAAAUUCGUAGAGAUCGGGAGGAAUACCAGUGGCGAAGGCGCCCUUCUGGACGGUUACUGACGCUGAGACGCGAAAGCGUGGGGAGCAAACAGGAUUAGAUACCCUGGUAGUCCACGCUGUAAACGAUGAGCACUAGGUGUAGCGGGUACUCAUUCCUGCUGUGCCGCAGCUAACGCGUUAAGUGCUCCGCCUGGGGACUACGGUCGCAAGACUAAA